AGGGGCAGCGGGGAUGAGAGCUUGCUCUUACCCUCAAAGCGACCGGCGCACGGGUGAGUAACACGUAUGCAACCUACCCCCUACAGGGGAAUAAUCGGCGGAAACGCCUUCAAAUACCGCAUAUACGCCAUAGAGGCAUCUCUUAGGCGAGAAAGAAUUUCGGUAGGGGAUGGGCAUGCGGCGCAUUAGGUGGUUGGCGGGGUAACGGCCCACCAAGCCGACGAUGCGUAGGGGUUCUGAGAGGAAGGUCCCCCACACUGGUACUGAGACACGGACCAGACUCCUACGGGAGGCAGCAGUGAGGAAUAUUGGUCAAUGGGCGAUAGCCUGAUUUUUCAAGUCGCGUGAGGGAAGACGGCCCUAUGGGUUGUAAACCUCUUUUGUCGGGUAUUUUUGUCGCCCCCCGUAGCGAUUUGAGAGUACCCGAAGAAAAAAAAUCGGCUAACUCCGUGCCAGCAGCCGCGGUAAUACGGAGGAUGCGAGCGUUAUCCGGAUUUAUUGGGUUUAAAGGGUGCGUAGGCGGGAGAUCAAGUCAGCGGUAAAAAUGCGGGGCCCAACCCCGUCGAGCCGUUUGAAACUGGUUUUCUUGAGUGGGCGAGAGGUAUGCGGAAUGCGUGGUGUAGCGGUGAAAUGCAUGGAUCUCUCGCGGAACCCCGAUUGCGAAGGCAGCAUACCGGCGCCCAACUGACGCUGAGGCACGAAAGCGUGGGGGGCCUUUAUGAGGAGAUACCGGGNNNNCCNCGCAGCAAACGGCCCCUUAAAGGGGGGGGGUUUGACUGAAGACUGAGUGGGACAGCGAAAGCGUUAAGUGUUCCACCUGGGGAGUACGCAGGCAACGGUGAAACUCAAAGGAAUUGACGGGGGCCCGCACAAGCGGAGGAACAUGUGGUUUAAUUCGAUGAUACGCGAGGAACCUUACCCGGGCUCAAACGACAGAUGCAUGAUUUUGAAAGGGAUCAGUCCUUCGGGACAUCUGUCGAGGUGCUGCAUGGUUGUCGUCAGCUCGUGCCGUGAGGUGUCGGCUUAAGUGCCAUAACGAGCGCAACCCCUACUGACAGUUGCCAACGCGUAAAGGCGUGCACUCUGUCGGGACUGCCAGCGCAAGCUGCGAGGAAGGCGGGGAUGACGUCAAAUCAGCACGGCCCUUACGUCCGGGGCGACACACGUGUUACAAUGGCCGGUACAGCGGGAAGCCAUGUGGCGACACAGAGCGGAACCCGAAAGCCGGUCUCAGUUCGGAUUGGAGUCUGCAACCCGACUCCAUGAAGCUGGAUUCGCUAGUAAUCGCGC
Molecule: ribosomal RNA, 1290 nt
Filed under: uncultured bacterium
Lineage: Bacteria
Description: bacterial SSU rRNA
Rfam family: Bacterial small subunit ribosomal RNA
Source: RNAcentral